RNAcentral lists this ribosomal RNA (445 nucleotides) under uncultured bacterium. RNAcentral describes it as "partial 16S ribosomal RNA". It matches the Rfam family "Bacterial small subunit ribosomal RNA", at positions 354 to 796 of the family's 1533-position model. The record is from RNAcentral.
GUGAGGAAUAUUGGUCAAUGGACGAGAGUCUGAACCAGCCAAGUCGCGUGAAGGAAGAAGGAUCUAUGGUUCGUAAACUUCUUUUGCAGGGGAAUAAAGUGCAGGACGUGUCCUGUUUUGUAUGUACCCUGAGAAUAAGGAUCGGCUAACUCCGUGCCAGCAGCCGCGGUAAUACGGAGGAUCCGAGCGUUAUCCGGAUUUAUUGGGUUUAAAGGGUGCGUAGGUGGUUUGAUAAGUCAGCGGUGAAAGUUUGCAGCUUAACUGUAAAAAUGCCGUUGAAACUGUCGGACUUGAGUGUAAAUGAGGUAGGCGGAAUGCGUGGUGUAGCGGUGAAAUGCAUAGAUAUCACGCAGAACUCCGAUUGCGAAGGCAGCUUACUAAGCUACAACUGACACUGAAGCACGAAAGCGUGGGGAUCAAACAGGAUUAGAAACCCCAGUAGUCC